Molecule: ribosomal RNA, 497 nt
Filed under: uncultured bacterium
Lineage: Bacteria
Description: partial 16S ribosomal RNA
Rfam family: Bacterial small subunit ribosomal RNA
Source: RNAcentral
GAUGAACGCUGGCGGCGUGCCUAAUACAUGCAAGUCGAGCGAACAGACGAGGAGCUUGCUCCUCUGACGUUAGCGGCGGACGGGUGAGUAACACGUGGAUAACCUACCUAUAAGACUGGGAUAACUUCGGGAAACCGGAGCUAAUACCGGAUAAUAUAUUGAACCGCAUGGUUCAAUAGUGAAAGACGGUUUUGCUGUCACUUAUAGAUGGAUCCGCGCCGCAUUAGCUAGUUGGUAAGGUAACGGCUUACCAAGGCAACGAUGCGUAGCCGACCUGAGAGGGUGAUCGGCCACACUGGAACUGAGACACGGUCCAGACUCCUACGGGAGGCAGCAGUAGGGAAUCUUCCGCAAUGGGCGAAAGCUUGACGGAGCAACGCCGCGUGAGUGAUGAAGGUCUUCGGAUCGUAAAACUCUGUUAUUAGGGAAGAACAAAUGUGUAAGUAACUAUGCACGUCUCGACGGUACCUAAUCAGAAAGCCACGGCUAACUACGUG